Molecule: ribosomal RNA, 497 nt
Filed under: uncultured bacterium
Lineage: Bacteria
Description: partial 16S ribosomal RNA
Rfam family: Bacterial small subunit ribosomal RNA
Source: RNAcentral
GAUGAACGCUGGCGGCGGGCCUAAUACAUGCAAGUCGAGCGAACAGACGAGGAGCUUGCUCCUCUGACGUUAGCGGCGGACGGGUGAGUAACACGUGGAUAACCUACCUAUAAGACUUGGAUGACUUCGGGGAACCGGAGCUAAUACCGGAUAAUAUGUUGAACCGCAUGGUUCAAUAGUGAAAGACGGUUUUGCUGUCACUUAUAGAUGUAUCCGCGCCGCAUUAGCUAGUUGGUAAGGUAACGGCCUACCAAGGCAACGAGGCGUAGCCGACCUGAGAGGGUGAUCGGCCACACUGGAACUGAGACACGGUCCAGACUCCUACGGGAGGCAGCAGUAGGGAAUCUUACGCAAUGGGCGAAAGCCUGACGGAGCAACGCCGCGUGAGUGAUGAAGGUCUUCGGAUCGUAAAACUCUGUUAUUAGGGAAGAACAAAUGUGUAAGUAACUAUGCACGUCUUGACGGUACCUAAUCAGAAAGCCAGGGCUAACUACGUG